This 301-nucleotide long non-coding RNA is filed under the name Hordeum vulgare. Its description in RNAcentral is "long non-coding RNA (HVUL_LNC020920)". Lineage: Eukaryota; Viridiplantae; Streptophyta; Magnoliopsida; Poales; Poaceae. The record is from RNAcentral.
GCUUCUGGAUCGGCGCCAGCGAGCCGGUGAUGGCGAUCUUGACCCCGCGCCGCAUGAUCUCAACAAGAAGCCGCGCCGUGUUGCGCGCGUCGUCGAGUCCGCAGUGCAGGCGGCCCUCCCAGUCCAGUCCCGCCGCCCGCACCGCCUCCUGCAGGUUGACCCGCCCUCCGCCACCGAAAGCCGCCUGGAAGGGGAUCCUCAGGUUGAUCCAGCGAUCAAAGUAGGAGGGCUUCUCGAUCCCCUUGAAUCGACACUCGAACUCCAGCAUGGUGCGACAAUCCCAGUCCCCCCAGGUCACGAC